This 1683-nucleotide ribosomal RNA is filed under the name Lobianchia gemellarii. RNAcentral describes it as "16S rRNA". The stretch from base 104 to 1572 matches the Rfam family "Bacterial large subunit ribosomal RNA". The record is from RNAcentral. Lineage: Eukaryota; Metazoa; Chordata; Actinopteri; Myctophiformes; Myctophidae.
UCCUAAAAAGCUAGCCCGACCCCAUGAGAAACAACACCCUAUAAAUUACAAACCCCUGUAAAACAACAAACAAACCAUUUUACCUCCCUAGUACCUGGGCGACAGAAAAGGAAACCCCGGAGCAAUAGAAAAAGUACCGCAAGGGAAAGCUGAAAGAGAAAUGAAACAACAACCCCAAGCUAUGAAAAGCAGAGAUGACCCCUCGUACCUUUUGCAUCAUGAUCUAGCCAGUAUGCCUGAGCAAAGGGAACUUUAGUUCAGCCCCCCGAAACUAGACGAGCUACUUCAAGACAGCCUAUGUUGGGCAAACCCGUCUCUGUUGCAAAAGAGUGGGACGAUCUUCAAGUAGAGGUGACAAACCUAUCGAGCCUAGUCAUAGCUGGUUGCCUGAAAAGUGUAUAUGAGUUCAGCCUCCCGAUUCCCCUCAUCCAAGACAUCUAUGUCCUACAAGACCAAGGGCGACCGAGAGAGUUAGUCAAAGAGGGUACAGCCCCUUUGAAAAAGGACACAACCUCACCGGGAGACAAAAGAUCAUAACUUACCCAAGGAAACUUGUUUUAGUGGGCCUAAAAGCAGCCACCUAUGAAGAAAGCGUUAAAGCUUAUACAAAAUACAACCCUUAAUACCGAACCGUGCUCUACACUCCCCACCCACUAUCAGGCCGUCCCACAAACCCUGGAAAAGACCCUGCUAAAAUGAGUAAUAAGAGUGAACCGCCCCUCUCCACUACACAUGUGUAAAUCGGAACGGACCAACCGCCGACAACUAACGACCCCCCUCAGAGGGCUGUGUACUACUGCACGAACAGCUAGAAACCUCAACACAACCAAUCGUUACCCCAACACAGGUGUGCAUGCCCGGAAAGACUUAGAUAAAGGGAAGGAACUCGGCAAACAAUAGCCUCGCCUGUUUACCAAAAACAUCGCCUCUUGCAAAACGAACAAAUAAGAGGUCCCGCCUGCCCUGUGACUAUAUGUUUAACGGCCGCGGUAUUUUGACCGUGCGAAGGUAGCGCAAUCACUUGUCUCUUAAAUGGAGACCUGUAUGAAAGGCAUCACGAGGGCUUGACUGUCUCCCCUUUAAAGUCAAUGAAAUUGAUCUCCCCGUGCAGAAGCGGGGAUAUGCUCGUAAGACGAGAAGACCCUAUGGAGCUUAAGACACAAAGCGACCCAUGUCAAACACCCCCUCAAAGGACACGAACAGAAUAGGCCCCGCCAGAAUGUCUUCGGUUGGGGCGACCGCGGGGAAAAACAAAACCCCCACAUGGACUGGGGCUACUCAACUUUUAUCAGCCUCAAAACCUAGACCCCUGAGUCAAAUCAACAGUAUUUCUGACCACCAAGGAGCCGGCAAUGCCGAUCAACGGACCAAGUUACCCUAGGGAUAACAGCGCAAUCCCCUCCCAGAGCCCAUAUCGACGAGGGGGUUUACGACCUCGAUGUUGGAUCAGGACAUCCUAAUGGUGCAGCCGCUAUUAAGGGUUCGUUUGUUCAACGAUUAAAGUCCUACGUGAUCUGAGUUCAGACCGGAGUAAUCCAGGUCAGUUUCUAUCUACGCAUCAAUCUUUUCUAGUACGAAAGGACCGAAAAGAAGAGGCCUCUAUCAACCAUACGCCUCACCCCCCACUAAUGAAUACAAAUAAAAUAGGAGGGGGCAAAAAUCGCACACCCAAAAGUAGGGUUA